Molecule: ribosomal RNA, 404 nt
Filed under: uncultured bacterium
Lineage: Bacteria
Description: bacterial SSU rRNA
Rfam family: Bacterial small subunit ribosomal RNA
Source: RNAcentral
CGAGGGAUUUUCGGCAAUGGGCGAAAGCCUGACCGAGCGACGCCGCGUGAGCGAAGAAGGCCUUCGGGUCGUAAAGCUCUGUCUAGGGGGACGAGCAAGGACGGUACCCCUGGAGGAAGCCACGGCUAACUACGUGCCAGCAGCCGCGGUAAUACGUAGGUGGCGAGCGUUGUCCGGAAUUACUGGGCGUAAAGGGCGCGCAGGCGGUACGUUAAGUCCAAGGUGAAAUCCCACGGCUCAACUGUGGGGGGACCCUGGAUACUGGCGUGCUGGAGUGCGGGAGAGGGAAGCGGAAUUCCACGUGUAACGGUGAAAUGUAUAGAUAUGUGGAGGAACACCGGUGGCGAAGGCGGCUUCCUGGACCGUAACUGACGCUGAGGCGCGAAAGCUGGGGGAGCGAACAG